This 494-nucleotide ribosomal RNA is filed under the name uncultured bacterium. RNAcentral's name for it is "partial 16S ribosomal RNA". It matches the Rfam family "Bacterial small subunit ribosomal RNA", at positions 28 to 507 of the family's 1533-position model. The record is from RNAcentral.
GACGAACGCUGGCGGCGCGCUUAACACAUGCAAGUCGAACGGAAAGGCCUGCUUUCCCUUGUGGAUUGCGGGUACUCGAGUGGCGAACGGGUGAGUAACACGUGAGUGAUCUGCCCCCAACUUGGGUAUAAGCCUGGGAAACUGGGUCUAAUUCCCGAUAGGACUGCAGGGUGGUGCCUGUGGUGGAAAACGAUUUUCUAGUGGGUGGGGAUGAGCUCGCGGCCUAUCAGCUUGUUGGUGGGGUGAUGGCCUACCAAGGCGGCGACGGGUAGCCGGGCUGGGGGGGUGGACGGCCACAUUGGGACGGAGAGACGGCCCAGACUACUACGGGCGGCAGCAGUGGGGAAUAUAGCACGAUGGGCGGAAUCCUGAUGCAGCGACGCGGCGUGGGGGAUGACGUCCUGCGGGUUGUACACUCCUUUCGACGGCGAGGAAGCCACCUGGUUGGAAGGGUGGUGACGGUAGUGGUAGAAGAAGCACCGGCUAACUACGUG